This 497-nucleotide ribosomal RNA is filed under the name uncultured bacterium. Its description in RNAcentral is "partial 16S ribosomal RNA". It matches the Rfam family "Bacterial small subunit ribosomal RNA", at positions 28 to 507 of the family's 1533-position model. The record is from RNAcentral.
GAUGAACGCUGGCGGCGUGCCUAAUACAUGCAAGUCGAGCGAACAGACGAGGAGCUUGCUCCUCUGACGUUAGCGGCGGACGGGUGAGUAACACGUGGAUAACCUACCUAUAAGACUGGGAUAACUUCGGGAAACCGGAGCUAAUACCGGAUAAUAUAUUGAACCGCAUGGUUCAAUAGUGAAAGACGGUUUUGCUGUCACUUAUAGAUGGAUCCGCGCCGCAUUAGCUAGUUGGUAAGGUAACGGCUUACCAAGGCGACGAUGCGUAGCCGACCUGAGAGGGUGAUCGGCCACACUGGAACUGAGCCACGGUCCAGACUCCUACGGUAGGCAGCAGUAGGGAAUCUUACGCAAUGGGCGAAAGCCUGACGGAGCAACGCCGCGUGAGUGAUGAAGGUCUUCGGAUCGUAAAACUCUGUUAUUAGGGAAGAACAAAUGUGUAAGUAACUAUGCACGUCUUGACGGUACCUAAUCAGAAAGCCACGGCUAACUACGUG